This 278-nucleotide long non-coding RNA is filed under the name Gallus gallus (chicken). Lineage: Eukaryota; Metazoa; Chordata; Aves; Galliformes; Phasianidae. The record is from RNAcentral.
CUCUGUUGAACUCAGUGGGAUUCUAUGGGGCUCAAUGGGAUCCUAUGGGGCUCAAUGGGAUUCUAUGGGGCUCAAUGGGAUUCUACGGGGCUCAAUGGGAUUCUAUGGGCCUCUGUUGAACUCAAUGGGAUCCUGUGGGGUCUGAGUGCAAAUGUGUGGGUCUGAGCGCGGUUCUGUGGGGCGCUGUGGGGCGGACUCACGGCGCGGAUGGCGAGCCAGACUUGCAGGUAGCAGAGGAUGAUGAUGGCGAGGGGGAAGAAGCAGCACGUGACCAUCAG